GUCCACGCCGUAAACGAUGGAUACUAGCUGUUGGGGGCAACUUCAGUGGCUAAGCGAAAGUGAUAAGUAUCCCACCUGGGGAGUACGUUCGCAAGAAUGAAACUCAAAGGAAUUGACGGGGGCCCGCACAAGCGGUGGAGCAUGUGGUUUAAUUCGAUGAUACGCGAGGAACCUUACCAAGGCUUAAAUGUAGAUUGACCGGACUGGAAACAGUUUUUUCGCAAGACAAUUUACAAGGUGCUGCAUGGUUGUCGU
RNAcentral lists this ribosomal RNA (255 nucleotides) under uncultured bacterium. RNAcentral's name for it is "partial 16S ribosomal RNA". It matches the Rfam family "Bacterial small subunit ribosomal RNA", at positions 793 to 1055 of the family's 1533-position model. The record is from RNAcentral.